RNAcentral lists this long non-coding RNA (2338 nucleotides) under Lonchura striata (white-rumped munia). Its description in RNAcentral is "domestica (Bengalese finch) lncRNA (ENSLSDG00000017502.1)". The record is from RNAcentral. Lineage: Eukaryota; Metazoa; Chordata; Aves; Passeriformes; Estrildidae.
UCACAGCCUGCUCCGCUCAGGGGACUCUGAUGAGGGGCAGAAAAAGGACGACAGCGUCACAUCAGUGCACAGCCCCGGCCUCCACACCCCGUCACCUCGGCCACCCCGAGCCCUCUCCCCGCUGCCUCCUGGCCUCUCCCGGCCCUGCUCCGGCCGCCUGGAGGCCGCGCGGCCACCACGGCUCCUGCCUCGCUCCUGGCUCCGGCUGCAUCCUCAUCCUCCCUGGAGCCCACCGGCCCUGGCGGCACUCACAGCGGGCUGCUGGAGCCCACCGGGGUGGAGACCAGAAACCCGGGCACGCAGAGCGGCUGGGGCUGUGCACAGGGUACACACAGGGAUACACACACGGACACACACACGGAUACACACACGGAUACAGACAUGGACACACACACGUGGAUACACACAUGGAUACAGACAUGGACACACACACGGAUACACACACGGAUACAGACAUGGACACACACAUGGAUACACACAGGGUACACACAGGGAUACACACACGGAUACAGACAUGGACACACACACGGAUACACACAGGGUACACACAGGGAUACACACAUGGACAUACACACGGAUACACACACAUGGAUACACACAGGGUACACACAGGGAUACACACAGGGAUAUACACAGGGAUACAAACGGAUACACACAUGGACACACACACGGAUACAGACAUGGACACACACAGGGAUACACACACGGAUACAGACAUGGACACACACACGGAUACACACACGGAUACAGACAUGGACACACACACGGAUACACACACGGAUACAGACAUGGACACACACACGGACAUACACACGGAUACACACACAUGGAUACACACAGGGUACACACAGGGAUACACACAGGGAUAUACACAGGGAUACAAACAGGGAUACACACAUGGACACACACACGGAUACAGACAUGGACACACACAGGGAUACACACAGGGUACGCACAUGGACACACACACGAAUACACACAGGGAUACACACAUGGACACACACACGGAUACAGACAUGGACACACACACGGAUACACACAGGGUACACACAUGGACACACACAGAUACAGACAUGGACACAUGCAUGGAUAUAGACAUGGAUACACACAGGGAUACACACACAUGGAUCCACACACGGAUACACACAGGGAUACACACAGGGACACACAGGGAUACAUACAUGGACACAUGCAUGGAUAUAGACAUGGAUACACACAGGGAUACACACACAUGGAUACACACACGGAUACAGACAUGGAUACACACACACGGACACACACAUGAAUACACACAUGGAUAUACACAGGGAUACACACAUGGACACACACAUAGACACAUACACAGAUACAGACAUGGAUACACACAGGGAUACACACACAUGGACACACACAUGGAUACACACACAUGGAUACACACAUGGAUACACACACAUGAAUACACACAGGGAUGCACACACAUGGAUACACACAUGGACACAUACAUGGAUACACACAUGGAUACACACAUGGAUACAUGCAGGGAUACACACACAUGGAUACACACACAGGGAUGCACACACAUGGACACACACAUGGAUACACACAUGGAUACACACAUGGACACACCAUGGAUACACACAGGGAUGCACACGCAUGGAUACACACACAUGGAUACACACAUGGUUACACACAUGGACAUACACAUGGAUACACACAUGGAUGCACACACCUGGACACACACAUGGAUACACACAUGGACACACACAUGGUUACACACAUGGACACACACAUGGAUACACACAUGGAUACAUGCAGGGAUACACACAUGGAUACAUGCAGGGAUACACACAUGGAUACACACAGGGGUACACACACAUGGAUCCACACACGGAUAAACACACACAGAUACACACAAAGGGACACACACAGAUAUAUACACAUGGACAACAUACACGGAUACACACACAUUGAUACACACAUACGGAUACAGACAUGGAUACACACACACGGAUACACAAUCAGGGAUACACACACAUGGCUACACACAUGGAUACAUACCUGGAUACACACACAGGGAUAAACACACAUGGAUACACACAGAAUACACACACACGGAUACACACAUGGAUACACACAGGGAUACACACACAUGGAUACACACAGGGAUACACAAUCAGGGAUACACACACAUGGAUACACACAUGGACACACACAGAAUACACACACACGGAUACACACACAGACACGCACACACAUGGACACACACGGAUCCACACUGGGAUUCAUCCCAGCAGGAUGCUCCGCCCUGCUCGCGGUGCGGGGGACAGCCAUGCUCACACUGCGGGGACAGAAAGCAGCA